UCGGGAAUUUUGGGCAAUGGGCGAAAGCCUGACCCAGCAACGCCGCGUGAGGGAUGAAGUAUUUCGGUAUGUAAACCUCGAAAGAAUGGGAAGAAUAAAUGACGGUACCAUUUAUAAGCUCCGGCUAACUACGUGCCAGCAGCCGCGGUAAUACGUAGGGAGCACGCGUUGUUCGGAUUUACUGGGCGUAAAGGGCGCGUAGGCGGCGCGGUAAGUCACUUGUGAAAUCUCUGAGCUUAACUCAGAACGGCCAAGUGAUACUGCUGUGCUAGAGUGCGGAAGAGGCAACCGGAAUUCUUGGUGUAGCGGUGAAAUGCGUAGAUAUCAAGAGGAACACCUGAGGCGAAGGCGGGUUGCUGGGCCGACACUGACGCUGAUGCGCGAAAGCCAGGGGAGCAAACG
Molecule: ribosomal RNA, 402 nt
Filed under: uncultured bacterium
Lineage: Bacteria
Description: bacterial SSU rRNA
Rfam family: Bacterial small subunit ribosomal RNA
Source: RNAcentral